Molecule: ribosomal RNA, 283 nt
Filed under: uncultured bacterium
Lineage: Bacteria
Description: partial 16S ribosomal RNA
Rfam family: Bacterial small subunit ribosomal RNA
Source: RNAcentral
UGACCCUACGGGGCGCAGCAGUAGGGAAUCUUCCACAAUGGGCGAAAGCCUGAUGGAGCAACGCCGCGUGGGAGAAGAAGGUCUUCGGAUCGUAAAACCCUGUUGUUAGAGAAGAAAGUGCGUGAGAGUAACUGUUCACGUUUCGACGGUAUCUAACCAGAAAGCCACGGCUAACUACGUGCCAGCAGCCGCGGUAAUACGUAGGUGGCAAGCGUUAUCCGGAUUUAUUGGGCGUAGAGGGAACGCAGGCGGUAUUUUAAGUCUGAUGUGAAAGGCUUCGGCU